This is a long non-coding RNA of Calypte anna (Anna's hummingbird), 171 nucleotides long. RefSeq lists it as uncharacterized. NCBI's taxonomy places the organism in Eukaryota, Metazoa, Chordata, Aves, Apodiformes, Trochilidae. The record is from RefSeq and is a predicted model, not a curated record. The transcript is spliced from 2 exons.
UAAAUCAUAUGCAAAAGGUACAAGAGUUAAUCUUUGCUGUUUGUAGCUUGGAAUUUCAUUAUUAUUUCACCUUUCCCUUACGGUACGAUCUUGCUAUAGCGCCAAGUUUUCUUUUCUAUCACCUAUACUAAGUUGUUGUAAUGUUUUAGUUUUAAGCUUGCAGUUAGUUUU